GGGUUAGAGAUACAUGGUUGGGAUGUGACAAGACUGGAAUCCAAAUCACUUUCUCUGAUUCAACAUGUUUUGUGUUUUCAUGUCUUUCAUACAGAAUUGGAAAGGAUAUUCCGACAAUAUUUCAGAGAGCCUGAGAAACCUUCAUCCAAUUCAGAGAUUGCAAGGAUAUUCUGAGGAUAUUCAGGAAAUGCUCAGAAGUCGUGUUUCCAUUCAGAGAUUGCAAAGAUAUUCCAAGGAUAUCUGGGAGAGGUUCGGAAACCUUGUUUCCAUUCAGGUUGUUGCUACUGAUGAAGUGUUGGAUUCACUUCGUGAUAGCUUGAUAAUCGCGAUGGCCAUCUUCUGUGUCGUAGCAGUAAUUAAUUUUGAACCAUCACGCUGGUUCAUGAAAAAGAGAAAGAAAACAAAGCUCUGCUUCCACUGUUUAAAAUGUGGCCGGAAACUUCAACAGAAGCAGCAGCUUUUGCUCCAGAAGGUACUGAGAGAACAGGAAGACCAGAGGCUGAGAGAGGUCGAGGAGCAGGGGCUGAGAGAGACCGAGGCACAGCGGUUAAGAGAGGCCAAGGACCAGCGGCUGAGAGAGGCCGAGGAGAUGCAGCUCAGAGAGGCCAAGGAGAUGCGGCUCAGAGAGGCCGAGGAGCAGCGGCUGAGAGAGGCCGAGGAGCUCCGGCUGAGAGAGGCCGAGGUGCAGCGACUGAGAGAGGCCGAGGAGCAGCGGCUCAGAGAGACAGAGGAGCAGCGGCU
RNAcentral lists this long non-coding RNA (741 nucleotides) under Eptatretus burgeri (inshore hagfish). RNAcentral describes it as "lncRNA (ENSEBUG00000017122.1)". Lineage: Eukaryota; Metazoa; Chordata; Myxini; Myxiniformes; Myxinidae. The record is from RNAcentral.